AUGGUGUAUCAGCAGGUCAGUUAUAUGGUGUAUCAGCAGGUCAGUAAUAUGGUGUAUCAGCAGGUCAGUAAUAUGGUGUAUCAACAGGUCAGUAAUAUGGUGUAUCAGCAGGCCAGUAAUAUGGUGUAUCAGCAGGUCAGUAAUAUGGUGU
Molecule: long non-coding RNA, 151 nt
Organism: Oncorhynchus keta (chum salmon)
Lineage: Eukaryota; Metazoa; Chordata; Actinopteri; Salmoniformes; Salmonidae
Exons: 3
Source: RefSeq, a predicted model, not a curated record